GUGGGGAAUUUUGGACAAUGGGCGAAAGCCUGAUCCAGCAAUGCCGCGUGUGUGAAGAAGGCCUUCGGGUUGUAAAGCACUUUUGGCAGGGAAGAAACAGUGCGUGCUAAUACCAUGCGCGAAUGACGGUACCUGCAGAAUAAGCACCGGCUAACUACGUGCCAGCAGCCGCGGUAAUACGUAGGGUGCAAGCGUUAAUCGGAAUUACUGGGCGUAAAGCGUGCGCAGGCGGCUUUGUAAGACGGAUGUGAAAGCCUCGGGCUCAACCUGGGAAGUGCAUUCGUGACUGCAAGGCUAGAGUGAGUAAGAGGGAGGUGGAAUUCCGCGUGUAGCAGUGAAAUGCGUAGAGAUGCGGAGGAACACCGAUGGCGAAGGCAGCCUCCUGGGAUAACACUGACGCUCAGGCACGAAAGCGUGGGGAGCAAACAGGAUUAGAUACCCUAGUAGUCC
RNAcentral lists this ribosomal RNA (450 nucleotides) under uncultured bacterium. RNAcentral describes it as "partial 16S ribosomal RNA". It matches the Rfam family "Bacterial small subunit ribosomal RNA", at positions 354 to 796 of the family's 1533-position model. The record is from RNAcentral.